Molecule: ribosomal RNA, 463 nt
Filed under: uncultured bacterium
Lineage: Bacteria
Description: partial 16S ribosomal RNA
Rfam family: Bacterial small subunit ribosomal RNA
Source: RNAcentral
GGGGGGGGGGGGGGGGGGGGGGGGGGGGGGGGGGUGUUUGGGGGGGCUGGGGGUGCGCGGCCUGGCCAGGGCGGACGGGUGAGUGACGCGGACGGGACGUGCCCUGCAGUCAGGGGUAACAGCCGGAAACGACUGGUAAGACCUGGUACAGUCAGGCGGCCUCAUGUCCAGCCUGCGUAAAAGUGAUGCUGCAGGAGAGCCUUGCGUCCUAUUAGCUUGUUGGUGUGGUAACGGCCCACCAAGGCGAUGAUAGGUAGCCGGCCUGAGCGGGUGGACGGCCACAAGGGGACUGAGAUACGGCCCUUACUCCUACGGGAGGCAGCAGUGGGGAAUAUUGGACAAUGGGGGCAACCCUGAUCCAGCAAUUCUGUGUGCACGAUGAAGGUUUUCGGAUUGUAAAGUGCUUUCAGCAGGGAAGAAAAAAAUGACGGUACCUGCAGAAGAAGCGACGGCUAAAUACGUG